UUUGAUCCUUAGCUAUAGCCUAAUAUUUCAGGAAGUAUAACUCACCCAACUACUCCACCCCCUAGGAUAUAGAAAUACCAGUGCAUGGAGUGUAUGCAGACACCAAGGUCAUAGAGGUUUGGGGUAUCCCUCAAGCUCAUACAGCUAGUAGUCAAGACAGGGUAGAAUCUAGGCUGCUUAAUUCAGGAGACUCUAGUCACUAGACCAGCAUUUCUCAAUCUUGUGGGUCAGAAGAUUGUCAAUGUCUCUAUAUUGACAUUGUGGGUCAGAUAAUUCUUUGUUGUGGGAGCUGCCCUGUGCACUGUAGGAUUUUAGCAGCAUCCCUGGCCUCUAGAUCAUUAGAUGUCAGUAGCACCUUCUACUCCUCCAGUUGUGACAAUCAAAAAUGUCUUCAGGCAUUGCCAAAUGUCCUCUCGGGGUAAAACUCCCUCUGCUUAAAACUCCAUUUGGACCAGAAUGUUUUGACUUCUCUGAAACUUCCUAGUGCCUCUACUCUUUUUUCCCUCUUUCCAUUGCCUACUAGAGGAAAACAUCACAUUUUAAUUUUGGCCUUUAACAGAUUAUGAAGGUGUAUUCCAGCUCACCUUAUGGCAGGGGAUACCACACUCAGGCAAUUCUCAGUUUGAACAUCAAUGGGAAGAUGUUAUGCUCUAUGUUGACCAUGGCCUCAUAAUGGCCAGUAAAGU
This 686-nucleotide long non-coding RNA is filed under the name Pan troglodytes (chimpanzee). RNAcentral's name for it is "long non-coding RNA NONPTRT001417". The record is from RNAcentral. Lineage: Eukaryota; Metazoa; Chordata; Mammalia; Primates; Hominidae.